Felis catus (domestic cat) is the source of this 748-nucleotide long non-coding RNA. RefSeq lists it as uncharacterized. The transcript has 3 exons. The record is from RefSeq and is a predicted model, not a curated record. Lineage: Eukaryota; Metazoa; Chordata; Mammalia; Carnivora; Felidae.
AAUAAUCAGAAUAAGGCAAAAGUGAUAGAAUGUCACUUCUUUCAUUAGAUUACAAGAGACUGUAACAUCUAUCUUGUUGGCUUACUCUCUCUACUGCCUUCUUAGCUUGCAUGCUUUGAAAAAACAAGCUACAAUACUGUACAAGCCCACGUGGUAAGAAACUGAUGGCAGGUUACAGCCAAGAUAGUGAGAAUCUGAGGCCACCAGUGAGAAGCUGAGGCUACCAGUUGAACAGUUUCCUACAAGGGAAAAUGCAACAUUAUGAGUGAAGAGUCACAUGAAUAACGUGCAUACCAGCAAGUCUAUAUAUGAAUGACAGCAUUUUACAAAAUAAUACCUGGAAUACCAGCUGCUCAUUUCCUAGAAGAAUUGUAGAGCCUUCUAAGGAGUGGAAAAGCCACUGAUCCCAUUGGAAACUCAUUUCUGAUAUAGCCUUUGCUUCUGAGGAAAAGAAAAAAAAAAGGAACAAUCCUACUGAUCUCAUGAUCCAAACAAUCUGCUACUGUGCAGUUGCCAAAUCUGGGCAGAAGUCAGGAGAUAGGACUCCUGUCCAACAAAUACUACAUAUUUGUAACCUUGGACAAAUCAUGCAAAUUCUGUGAAUCUAUUUCAUCAUCUAUAAAAUGGGGAUAAUAGUACCUAAUACCAAGUAUUGACAGAAUCAAAUGAAAAACUAUGCAGGCAAGUAUUUUAUAAACCGCAAAAUUCACUACAAACAUAGUAGAGGAUUACUUUUCACUACGUUACC